UUGACUGAAGCCAAAAGGCUAACCAUUGUUACUGGUUAUAUCGGAGUUACCCUGUCGUU
This 59-nucleotide transfer RNA is filed under the name Gammarus fossarum. Its description in RNAcentral is "tRNA-Asn". Lineage: Eukaryota; Metazoa; Arthropoda; Malacostraca; Amphipoda; Gammaridae. The record is from RNAcentral.